This 54-nucleotide transfer RNA is filed under the name Phocanema krabbei. RNAcentral describes it as "Pseudoterranova krabbei tRNA-Thr". Lineage: Eukaryota; Metazoa; Nematoda; Chromadorea; Rhabditida; Anisakidae. The record is from RNAcentral.
GCUAUUUUAGUUUAUUCAAAAUAUAUGAUUUGUAAUCAUGGGAUUCAUGUAGCU